This 69-nucleotide transfer RNA is filed under the name Luciola sp. FM20. RNAcentral's name for it is "tRNA-Ile". The record is from RNAcentral. Lineage: Eukaryota; Metazoa; Arthropoda; Insecta; Coleoptera; Lampyridae.
UAAUAAUUAGUUUUUUAAUUGAAAACUGGAAUGAAUGAUUGGACAAAAAAAAUUCUGUCUCUUUAUUAA